Long non-coding RNA from Cydia splendana, 217 nucleotides. RefSeq lists it as uncharacterized. The record is from RefSeq and is a predicted model, not a curated record. The transcript has 2 exons. NCBI's taxonomy places the organism in Eukaryota, Metazoa, Arthropoda, Insecta, Lepidoptera, Tortricidae.
UGCGGAGUAUACUAAGGAUAGUCUGCGGGUAGAAUAUUCGCGUCCCCCUUAAGGGAGGUCGUUUAGAGGAUUGUCAGGUAGGGAGCAGUUAAUAGGGGCGUUAAGUCCCCUAGCUAUCAAAUGGCACGGGAAUUCCUAAGAGUUAACGAACAAAUUAAAUGUUAAAGGGGAAUGAUUUUUAGGCGAUUAACUUUUUGUCGCCAUAUUAAAAUGGUAG